Mesoplodon densirostris (Blainville's beaked whale) is the source of this 2627-nucleotide RNA transcript. It is a transcript of the gene named platelet derived growth factor subunit A, with no coding region annotated. The record is from RefSeq and is a predicted model, not a curated record. Lineage: Eukaryota; Metazoa; Chordata; Mammalia; Artiodactyla; Ziphiidae. The transcript is spliced from 7 exons.
GGCAGCGGCUCCAGCCUCGCUCCGGGGUCCCUUUCGGGGCUGACGCCCGCAAAUAUGCAGAAUUACCGGCCUGGUCGCUCCUAGAGCCAGCGCUGGGGAGCGAGCGCGGCGGCGGCCAGCACCGGGAACGCACCAAGGAAGAGGCCCAGCCCCCGCCCUCCGCCCCUUCCGUCCCCACCCCCUACCCGGCGGCCCAGGAGGCUCCCGGCGCGGCGGGCGCGGCGAGCGCGCACUCCCUGCUCCUCCUCCUCGGUGGCGCUGCCUGCCUCUCCGCACUCGCUGCUCGCGCCUGGCGCGCUCCGUCGGCUCCCUGCUCUCCGCGCCACCCUCCUCCGGGCCGCGCUCCCUGAGGGAUGGUACUGAAUCUCGCCGCCACAGGAGCCCGGCUGGAGCGCCCGCCCCGCGGCCUCGCCACCCCGCCGAGCCGCCAGCGCCUCGGGACGCGAUGAGGACCUGGGCUUGUUUGCUGCUCCUCGGCUGCGGAUACCUCGCCAGUGCCCUGGCCGAGGAAGCCGAGAUCCCCCGCGAGGUCAUUGAGAGGCUGGCGCACAGUCAAAUACACAGCAUCCGGGACCUCCAGCGACUCCUGGAGAUAGACUCCGUAGGGGCCGAGGAGCCUUUGGAGACCAGCCUGAGAGCCCACGGGGGCCAUGGCGCCAAGCAUGUGCCGGAGAAGCGGCCUGUGCCCAUUCGGAGGAAAAGAAGCAUCGAGGAAGCCAUCCCCGCAGUCUGCAAGACCAGGACGGUCAUUUAUGAGAUACCUCGGAGCCAGGUGGACCCCACGUCUGCCAACUUUCUGAUCUGGCCCCCGUGCGUGGAGGUGAAGCGCUGUACCGGCUGCUGCAACACCAGCAGUGUCAAGUGCCAGCCGUCCCGCGUCCACCACCGGAGUGUCAAGCGGGCCGCUGUCUCGGCAGGUGGCCAAGGUGGAGUACGUCAGAAAGAAGCCAAAGUUAAAAGAGGUGCAGGUGCGGCUGGAAGAGCACCUGGAAUGCACGUGCGCAAGCGCCAGCCCGAGCCCCGACCACCGGGAAGAGGAGGCGGGUAGGAGCCGGCCGCCGGCCAUGCCGCAGUCCUGGGGUGGGAGGCGCAGCGACUGAUCACUCAGCGAAUCACCCCGAAGGCGAGGACGCGCCCUGAUUGGCCUUGAUCCGUCUGCGAGCUUCUGCUGUCUGGCUGGGCUGCGGGUCUCCGCAUUCCCGUCCCCAACCCCUCCCCUCCCGCUGCUCGGGACACCUGGCCCAUGGCUCCCUCCUGCUCCGGGGCCCCUGCUCUGGCUUUGGUCCUUGUUGAUUGGGGAGGCAAGGCGUCACACAAGCGGAGUGAUCUGGGUUCCCUGAGCAGCAGUGGGGUAGCUCUGAUGUUUACUCACUGGGAUCACCUCGGACAGGUUACCCACCUCCUUUACAGAUGAAAAAACUGAGGCUUAGAGGGAUUGCAGGGCAAGAUUGUUGAAGGCUGAGUAGAUCCUGUCUGAAAAUGCUUUGUAAACGUACAGGGCUAUUGGCUACUGUGUUGGCAGUUGUGUUUGGCUGCUAAUAACAUGCCAGAAACAAGGGUUGAGAUAAGGUAGGGAGAUCAGAGCAUGUAUGCCAGUCUCAGGGUAUCGUCAGGGACCCACUUCUUUCCAGGGCUAGUGGUGUCCAUCCUCAGAGUUGCCUCAUGGCCCAAGAUGGCUGCCAAAGCUCCAGAAAUCACGUUACACUCCAGGCCUGGAAGAAAGAUUAUGGUGGGGACUGGGGACAAUGGUGAAAGGACCCAGUGACUUUUGCUUUGAUCUCAUUGGCCACCCCUCUGCUGUAAGGGGGCCUGGGAAUGGUGGUCUUUCAGAGGGGCUUCCCAGGAGAAGGUGGUUGUGGGCAACCAUGGAGGAGGCAGUUUUAAGCCUUCCUGGUCCUUCGUGUUGGCCUGUCGGGCUCUGCAGAGCCUGGUCCUUGCUUCUGGGCAUGUGGGAGCCCACGGCAUCCAAAACAAAUAGUUGUGAGAGGAAUUCUUGGAGACAGGUGCCCGGGAGCCCAGGCUCCAGCUGAGCGAUGUGUGACUGUGGAACGCUGCCAGGUCAGGAGCUUCUGAGGCCCGCAGGUCACGUCCGUUCAGGAGGAUCCUCUGGGGAGGAAAGGUCCACGCGGACAGAUCUUGAAGCAGCCCCAAAACGACUGCUCAGCCUUGGUUUUUGGGUCCCCAGGGUGUGGUGCAGGGGCUGGUUUUAUACCUGCCUGUGCUGCCAAGUUUAUGACCACUGGGCUUAGCCUCCGUGGGCUAGCUGAUGACUGAUACCCCAAAGGGAGGGGCAGGCGUCCCUGCCUCCCUGCUAGCAUUCAGGCUGUGGGCAUGUGGUGGUACAAGUAUUGGGAUGAGCAACAGACAGGCGACGUAGGGUGGGAAAGAGCUGCUCUUAGCUCAGCUCAGUGUAGCUCUGCCUGGUCACAGAGACCUCUCUGUCUUGCUGGUGGCAUCCAUCCUCAGGGUUGCCUCAUGGCCCAAGAUGGCUGCAGGAUCUCCAGAAAUCACAUCAAGCUGUAGGCUGGAAGAAAGAAGAAGAUGUGAGGUGAGGAUCAGCCAGCAGCCCUUUUCCGGGACACGGAUGUACAUGGCGUGUUACAUUCCUGAACCUACUAUGUACGGUG